ACGAACGCUGGCGGCAUGCCUAACACAUGCAAGUCGAACGAGACCUUCGGGUCUAGUGGCGCACGGGUGCGUAACGCGUGGGAACCUGCCCUUAGGUUCGGAAUAACUCCCCGAAAGGGGUGCUAAUACCGGAUAAUGUCUUCGGACCAAAGAUUUAUCGCCUUUGGAUGGGCCCGCGUUGGAUUAGCUAGUUGGUAGGGUAAAAGCCUACCAAGGCGACGAUCCAUAGCUGGUCUGAGAGGAUGGUCAGCCACACUGGGACUGAGACACGGCCCAGACUCCUACGGGAGGCAGCAGUGGGGAAUAUUGGACAAUGGGCGAAAGCCUGAUCCAGCAAUGCCGCGUAAGUGAUGAAGGCCUUAGAGUUGUAAAGCUCUUUUACCCGGGAUGAUAAUGACGGUACCGAGAGAAUAAGCACCGGCUAACUCCGUG
RNAcentral lists this ribosomal RNA (432 nucleotides) under uncultured bacterium. RNAcentral describes it as "partial 16S ribosomal RNA". It matches the Rfam family "Bacterial small subunit ribosomal RNA", at positions 29 to 507 of the family's 1533-position model. The record is from RNAcentral.